UGCGUAGGCGGAAUGAUAAGUUAGUGGUGAAAGCCCCCGGCUCAACCGGGGAACUGCCAUUAAUACUGUCAUUCUUGAGUAUGGUUGAAGUGGGCGGAAUGUAUCAUGUAGCGGUGAAAUGCUUAGAUAUGAUACAGAACACCGAUAGCGUAGGCAGCUUGCUAAACUAUAACUGACGCUCAGGCACGAAAGCGUGGGGAGCAAACAGGAUUAGAUACCCUGGUAGUCC
RNAcentral lists this ribosomal RNA (229 nucleotides) under uncultured bacterium. Its description in RNAcentral is "partial 16S ribosomal RNA". It matches the Rfam family "Bacterial small subunit ribosomal RNA", at positions 568 to 796 of the family's 1533-position model. The record is from RNAcentral.